Molecule: unclassified non-coding RNA, 289 nt
Filed under: Hevea brasiliensis (rubber tree)
Lineage: Eukaryota; Viridiplantae; Streptophyta; Magnoliopsida; Malpighiales; Euphorbiaceae
Source: RNAcentral
UGAAAUAGCUCUAUGGUGGUAUAAAACACAUGUUAUUGUAUACUUUACUUGCUAACUUCUUGCUUAUCAGCCCUUUAUAUUUUGACCCUUGAAAAUAGAAAGACAUGAUUUAGGGUCAGCGCUGGAGCCAUUUCUCAGACUCAUGGUGGCUCUGAGUGGUCCUUGCUGAUUCCUAGCCUGAUAUUUUACAUGUAUAAAUUCCUUGUUGUCCAUAUAGUUAUUUUGUUGUUGAUACUUUGUAUUCUGUGCUCCUCACUAUUAAUUUAUAAAAAGGUGAUUAUCGAUUUUU